Molecule: ribosomal RNA, 244 nt
Filed under: Cryptosporidium parvum
Lineage: Eukaryota; Apicomplexa; Conoidasida; Eucoccidiorida; Cryptosporidiidae
Description: partial 18S ribosomal RNA
Rfam family: Eukaryotic small subunit ribosomal RNA
Source: RNAcentral
ACUUUUUGGUUUUGUAAUUGGAAUGAGUUAAGUAUAAACCCCUUUACAAGUAUCAAUUGGAGGGCAAGUCUGGUGCCAGCAGCCGCGGUAAUUCCAGCUCCAAUAGCGUAUAUUAAAGUUGUUGCAGUUAAAAAGCUCGUAGUUGGAUUUCUGUUAAUAAUUUUUAUAAAAUAUUUUGAAUAUUUAUAUAACAUUAACAUAAUUCAUAUUACUAUAUUUUUUAGUAUAUGAAAUUUUACCUUGA